Long non-coding RNA from Octopus sinensis (East Asian common octopus), 679 nucleotides. RefSeq lists it as uncharacterized. The transcript has 3 exons. Lineage: Eukaryota; Metazoa; Mollusca; Cephalopoda; Octopoda; Octopodidae. The record is from RefSeq and is a predicted model, not a curated record.
AAAUCUGCUGUAGAUAAUAUUUCAUUGCCACGAACUGCAAUAUUAGUUGUAGAGACAGGAAAGGAGAGCAGUUGUAAAAUGACAGAAGAAGCAGCCUCCACAGCUGCCAGAGAUGAUUUCAACACGCUGCAAGCAUCUAAGAGACACAUUUUGCUAUGCCUGAGGUCAAUUUAUCCAACACAAACAGUAAAAGAAAACUCUAUAGCAGCAACGUAUAAAAUGUGUGAGGCCUACAGGGUAUAUUUUGGCAUGCCUGUCGAGGACUCAGACGAACACAUGCGAGCAUAGCAAAAGAAAUUCUAGAAGUUGCAGAAAGGAAUAGAAUGCUAUGAAGAUCGUUGUACCAAGUAGUUGGUGAGAACCCACUGAACACUGAAAUAAAAGUACUAUUCUAAAAGUCGGCCAUGCAAGAAUGUCGGUUACUGUAUCGGGACAUUCCAGCAUCGAUUGCUUCGUCUGACACUGCCACCGACUUGGGUAGCAGUUUGGGUGUUGUGCAAAGUUCACUAAUUACCACAGAAGCAAGUGUCACAUUUGUGUUCCACAUUUGGUUAGGUCUUAAUGUUCCUCUAUUUUCUCAAUUUCUGUGGUAUUCACUCGAUUAUCGUAUGACAUUGCAAAGCCUACUAUCCUACACGGUUUGGUUUGUUGAUGUUUCCCCUCAAUCAUAUCUAACUCC